AGAGUUUGAUCCUGGCUCAGAACGAACGCUGGCGGCAGGCUUAACACAUGCAAGUCGAGCGCCCGCAAGGGGAGCGGCAGACGGGUGAGUAACGCGUGGGAAUCUACCGUGCCCUACGGAAUAGCUCCGGGAAACUGGAAUUAAUACCGUAUACGCCCUACGGGGGAAAGAUUUAUCGGGGUAUGAUGAGCCCGCGUUGGAUUAGCUAGUUGGUGGGGUAAAGGCCUACCAAGGCGACGAUCCAUAGCUGGUCUGAGAGGAUGAUCAGCCACAUUGGGACUGAGACACGGCCCAAACUCCUACGGGAGGCAGCAGUGGGGAAUAUUGGACAAUGGGCGCAAGCCUGAUCCAGCCAUGCCGCGUGAGUGAUGAAGGUCUUAGGAUUGUAAAGCUCUUUCACCGGUGAAGAUAAUGACGGUAACCGGAGAAGAAGCCCCGGCUAACUUCGUG
This 450-nucleotide ribosomal RNA is filed under the name uncultured Hyphomicrobiales bacterium. RNAcentral describes it as "bacterial SSU rRNA". It matches the Rfam family "Bacterial small subunit ribosomal RNA", at positions 8 to 507 of the family's 1533-position model. Lineage: Bacteria; Pseudomonadati; Pseudomonadota; Alphaproteobacteria; Hyphomicrobiales. The record is from RNAcentral.